RNAcentral lists this ribosomal RNA (1448 nucleotides) under uncultured bacterium. RNAcentral's name for it is "bacterial SSU rRNA". It matches the Rfam family "Bacterial small subunit ribosomal RNA". The record is from RNAcentral.
CGCUAUCUACAGGCUUAACACAUGCAAGUCGAGGGGCAGCAUGGUCUUAGCUUGCUAAGGCCGAUGGCGACCGGCGCACGGGUGAGUAACACGUAUCCAACCUGCCGUCUACUCUUGGACAGCCUUCUGAAAGGAAGAUUAAUACAAGAUGGCAUCAUGAGUCCGCAUGUUCACAUGAUUAAAGGUAUUCCGGUAGACGAUGGGGAUGCGUUCCAUUAGAUAGUAGGCGGGGUAACGGCCCACCUAGUCUUCGAUGGAUAGGGGUUCUGAGAGGAAGGUCCCCCACAUUGGAACUGAGACACGGUCCAAACUCCUACGGGAGGCAGCAGUGAGGAAUAUUGGUCAAUGGGCGAGAGCCUGAACCAGCCAAGUAGCGUGAAGGAUGACUGCCCUAUGGGUUGUAAACUUCUUUUAUAAAGGAGUAAAGUCGGGUAUGGAUACCCGUUUGCAUGUACUUUAUGAAUAAGGAUCGGCUAACUCCGUGCCAGCAGCCGCGGUAAUACGGAGGAUCCGAGCGUUAUCCGGAUUUAUUGGGUUUAAAGGGAGCGUAGAUGGAUGUUUAAGUCAGUUGUGAAAGUUUGCGGCUCAACCGUAAAAUUGCAGUUGAUACUGGAUAUCUUGAGUGCAGUUGAGGCAGGCGGAAUUCGUGGUGUAGCGGUGAAAUGCUUAGAUAUCACGAAGAACUCCGAUUGCGAAGGCAGCCUGCUAAGCUGCAACUGACAUUGAGGCUCGAAAGUGUGGGUAUCAAACAGGAUUAGAUACCCUGGUAGUCCACACGGUAAACGAUGAAUACUCGCUGUUUGCGAUAUACAGCAAGCGGCCAAGCGAAAGCGUUAAGUAUUCCACCUGGGGAGUACGCCGGCAACGGUGAAACUCAAAGGAAUUGACGGGGGCCCGCACAAGCGGAGGAACAUGUGGUUUAAUUCGAUGAUACGCGAGGAACCUUACCCGGGCUUAAAUUGCAGAUGAAUUACGGUGAAAGCCGUAAGCCGCAAGGCAUCUGUGAAGGUGCUGCAUGGUUGUCGUCAGCUCGUGCCGUGAGGUGUCGGCUUAAGUGCCAUAACGAGCGCAACCCUUGUUGUCAGUUACUAACAGGUUCCGCUGAGGACUCUGACAAGACUGCCAUCGUAAGAUGUGAGGAAGGUGGGGAUGACGUCAAAUCAGCACGGCCCUUACGUCCGGGGCUACACACGUGUUACAAUGGGGGGUACAGAGGGCCGCUACCACGCGAGUGGAUGCCAAUCCCAAAAACCUCUCUCAGUUCGGACUGGAGUCUGCAACCCGACUCCACGAAGCUGGAUUCGCUAGUAAUCGCGCAUCAGCCACGGCGCGGUGAAUACGUUCCCGGGCCUUGUACACACCGCCCGUCAAGCCAUGGGAGCCGGGGGUACCUGAAGUGCGUAACCGCGAGGAGCGCCCUAGGGUAAAACUGGUGACUGGGGCUAAGU